This 208-nucleotide ribosomal RNA is filed under the name uncultured bacterium. RNAcentral's name for it is "partial 16S ribosomal RNA". It matches the Rfam family "Bacterial small subunit ribosomal RNA", at positions 524 to 731 of the family's 1533-position model. The record is from RNAcentral.
UACGAAGGGGGCUAGCGUUGCUCGGAAUCACUGGGCGUAAAGGGUGCGUAGGCGGGUCUUUAAGUCAGGGGUGAAAUCCUGGAGCUCAACUCCAGAACUGCCUUUGAUACUGAGGAUCUUGAGUACGGGAGAGGUGAGUGGAACUGCGAGUGUAGAGGUGAAAUUCGUAGAUAUUCGCAAGAACACCGGUGGCGAAGGCGGCGACCUG